GGCGUCUUCGACGUCCGAGUUGUAAUUUGAAGAAGGCGACUUUGUAGCUGGUCCUUGUCUAUGUUCCUUGGAACAGGACGUCAUAGAGGGUGAGAAUCCCGUGUGGCGAGGAUCCCAGUUAUUUGUAAAGUGCUUUCGACGAGUCGAGUUGUUUGGGAAUGCAGCUCUAAGUGGGUGGUAAAUUCCAUCUAAAGCUAAAUAUUGGCGAGAGACCGAUAGCGAACAAGUACAGUGAUGGAAAGAUGAAAAGAACUUUGAAAAGAGAGUGAAAAAGUACGUGAAAUUGUUGAAAGGGAAGGGCAUUUGAUCAGACAUGGCGUUUGCUUCGGCUUUCGCUGGGCCAGCAUCAGUUUUAGCGGUUGGAUAAAUCCUCGGGAAUGUGGCUCUGCUUCGGUAGAGUGUUAUAGCCCGUGGGA
Molecule: ribosomal RNA, 416 nt
Filed under: Kluyveromyces marxianus
Lineage: Eukaryota; Fungi; Ascomycota; Saccharomycetes; Saccharomycetales; Saccharomycetaceae
Description: LSU rRNA
Rfam family: Eukaryotic large subunit ribosomal RNA
Source: RNAcentral